AUUGAACGCUAGCGGGCUGCUUUACACAUGCAAGUCGAACGAGUGGCGGACGGGUGAGUAAUAUAUCGGAACGUGCCCAGUAGCGGGGGAUAACUACUCGAAAGAGUGGCUCAUACCGCAUACUCUUGGGGCAGCCUAUAUCGGAUUCGCUAGUUGGUGGGGUAAAGGCUACCAAAGGCAACGAUCCGUAGCUGGUGUGAGAGGACGACCAGCCACAAUGGGACUGAGACACGGCCCAGACGCCUACGGGAGGCAGAAGGGGGGAAUUUUGGACAAUGGGGGAAACCCUGAUCCAGCCAUCCCGCGUGUAUGAGAAGGCCUUCGGGUUGUAAAGUACUUUGGGCAGAGAAGCGGUAUCGGCAGAAUAAGCACCGGCUAACUACGUGCCAGCAGCCGCGGUAAUUC
RNAcentral lists this ribosomal RNA (405 nucleotides) under uncultured bacterium. RNAcentral describes it as "partial 16S ribosomal RNA". It matches the Rfam family "Bacterial small subunit ribosomal RNA", at positions 30 to 526 of the family's 1533-position model. The record is from RNAcentral.